CAUCUAGGCCUGUCGCGAUAAUCAAUUAAUCGCCUUAUCGCUCGAUAAAUAAAAACGAGGUCGGUCAUUUUGCCAGCCUCGAUAAUUAACGUGCGUUUGUUUUCCUCCUCUCUCGCUACCAAAGACGCUGGAUGAGAGAAGAGGUCUCACUCUGUGCAUUUUUCUCGGCACCUGGGGGCGUUGGCUCUAUAAGCGGAAUGAACGGAGUUAGUGAACCCUCCUGUCAGUCAUUCAGUGUCUUUGUCACGAGGGGGCUGGUGCGCACAGGCACACAGACACAAGCUGCGUCCGAAUUGCCAAGUAGUAGUCGAAGUAGUAUCUAGCAUGUCCGAAUUGGCCACCGGAGCGAGUAGCAUGCUACUUCAGAUACUACUUCAGAUACUAGACACGCCCACAUUGUAGGUUGGUCUCGGUGCAUCCUACGGGCAUGCUACUGACCCAAAAUGCACCACGGGCUUCUUCUUCGUCCUCUUAAAAGUUGUAGAAGCGCAUGUGAUGCUAGCGCCACCAGCUGCUCUGCCUAUUUAAAUGUGUCGUGAACGCCGGCUGGCCACAACAGCGCGCACCAUGUCGCGGGACCGCAGCAGUACAGAUGUAAGUUUCAUGUAACUUCACACACUGUCCUAAAAAAUGUGCGGUUGUAUCUCUUUGUCAUGUCAUGGUGUCAUAUUUGCCCAAGUAAUCAUUUUAUGAGCAAGUGGCGACAUCAUGGAGGUAAAGCUCACUUAUUCCAUCAUUAAACUGCACAGCUGCAGUACUACAGCCAGGCCCGCAGAUGAGGGGCUUCAGUUACCACUGUCUGCACGGGCGCAGUACCUACUCUCUGCCUGCGGGGGUCGUCUUUCCCCACCGCUCGUCUAGUGUGUCCGAAUUGGGCCAACGUGUUUAGUAUGUAGGAGUAGGAUCUAGCAGUAGCAUGUAGUAUCCGAGCGGGCAGUUUGGACGCAGCAAAAGACUUUUGGAUACAGUGCUGCAAGUGAGCGUCGUGAGUGAAAAGCAAGCAAACAGAAUGAACACGACAGCUUUGGUGUCUAAACCGAACGCAACAGCCCAAGUGUGGGAAUAUUUCGGCUUUAAACCAGUUUUGUUUUCGUCAGCCACAAAACUCCACGUGUGUGUGUGCGGGCGCGCGUGUGUCUGUGUGUUGGAGGAGCACAGCAGGCUGAUGAGAGCUGUCAGAGCGGACUGAAGCUGCUCCUAUAUGUUUAGCGUUUAACUGACUGAGUUUUGAAACUCUGUUCAUCAUUUUCGCCUGUCCUAUCAACGUAAACGCACUUUCGUCUCGUCACAUUUGAGUCAUCUCCGACUUAUGUUUAGCUCGUCAACGUUACGUCUUCGUCGUGGAAGAAAAGGGAAAUAUUUUAGUCAAUAUUUCCCUUUUUUGACGCUGGCGUUGACGAAAAUAUCUGACGAAAUAUGAAGAAAACAACACUGCUUUAAACCAAAUGAAAGAGGUGAGCCCACAAAUACGGACGAGCCGAUAUGUCGUAUUUGUGCCAAAGUUGUGGUGACAAAGAAGGGGAAUACGACGAACAUGCACGUGCACCUCAAGCACAAUCAUCCCCUCCAUUUUUCUCAAAUGAGCAGAAAAAGUACCGCCGGAGGUACCGCUUACUGAAGCGUUUGGUAAGCAAGCAAAUAUAAACAAAACAGCGCAAAAUGGUGCGCGCUGACAGACAGUGGAAAUUAAAGUUUAUCACUUUUGACACGGUGUACUCGCAUUAUUAUGCCAUAUAAUAUUAUCUAUAAUUUAAAAAACGGUGUCAAUAAUAUCGUUUAUCGGCGAUAAUUUGUAGCACAAUUAUCGUCCAGCAAAAUUUGUUAUCGUGACAGGCCUACCUACAUCACUUCAAGGCCAAGUUACUGCAGGGACGGUUAUCUAAAAAACAGCACGCCCAAGAUGCACCCGCCUUGUAAAAAAGGAGAAUACAGCUGUCUACUCCGUCAAAUGUCCCUGAGCUGGGGAAGGCACUGGCAAAGCAUCCCAACCACUGUUUGUGAAUUAUUUGAUAACAGGACUGGUUCAGAGGUUCCUAACAGGUUUGGUCUGUCUGCCAAAAGUGUCUUUUGUGUGUAAAAAUAAAUUUACAAUCCGUGAUGACAGAUCCUGAAAUAGUUGAUGGAGAGGAGGUAGAGAAGUAAGAGGACAUGCUCGAGAGGCAGUUCAUCUACCGGAAAGAGAACUUGGCAUAUUAUUUUUCCUUGUGUGUCAUGCCUCAGGGGCGGUCCUUUAUAUCUAGACUUUUCAACCUUGCCAAAUCAGUGGAGAAACUCCAUGAUAGAGUAAGUUUAGAUGAAGGUUGCAGAUCCAAACUGCAACACUUCUGUGUAAAAAUGGAAAGGCCUCUCAUUCUCUUAUAGUGACUAUCAGGAAUCUUCUCCUGUGAUUUAAGCUAUUUAUAGUCACAGCACCAUCUGUUGGUUUUGGGGGGUUUUAAUAAUCAGUGGUUGCUGAUGUUUGGCUAAAUGAACUGUCUUCUCUGCCAAAAAAUGUGUCUUCAACUGCUUCAAUGUUUUAAGGGUAACCUAUACUACACAAGCUUUGGAGGUGGGUAGGUUGCUUCAUAGUUUCUUGCUGCUGGCUGCUGCUCUCCCUCCCCAGCUUUCAUGAAGCUCAUGAAAGCUGGGGAGGGUUGCCUGGUAUGGUUGUUCUGGGGGGCUUUUUUGCUGCUGUUUUCCCUGCCUCGGCUUCCAUGUGCUACAUGAAAGCUGAGAGGGUCGCCUUGUAUGGUGUUUUGGGGAAUUUUGAUUUAUUUAUCUUAAUCGUAUUUAGGCCUGUCGCGAUAAUCAAUAAAUCGCCUUAUCGCUCGGUAAAUAAAAACGAGGUCGGUCAUUUUGCCAGCCUCGAUAAUUGACGUGCGUUUGUUUUCCUCCUCUCUCGCUACCAAACACGCUGGAUGAGAGAAGAGGUCUCACUCUGCGCAUUUUCUCGGCACCUGGGGGCGUUGGCUGUAUAGCGGAAUGAACGGAGUUAGUGAACCCUCCUGUCAGUCAUUCAGUAUCUUUGUUACGAGGGGGCGCGCGCGCAGGUACACGUAGGCGCGCACAGGCACACAGACACAGACUUUUGGAUACAGUGCUGCAAGUGAGCGUCGUGAGUGAAAAGCAAGCAAACAGAAUGAACACGACAGCUUUGGUGUCUAAACCGAACGCAACAGCCCAAGUGUGGGAAUAUUUCGGCUUUAAACCAGUUUUGUUUUCGUCAACCACAAAACUCCACGUGUGUGCGCGCGCGCGUGUGUC
This 3243-nucleotide long non-coding RNA is filed under the name Xyrichtys novacula (pearly razorfish). The record is from RNAcentral. Lineage: Eukaryota; Metazoa; Chordata; Actinopteri; Labriformes; Labridae.